Molecule: non-coding RNA, 4691 nt
Organism: Podarcis lilfordi (Lilford's wall lizard)
Lineage: Eukaryota; Metazoa; Chordata; Lepidosauria; Squamata; Lacertidae
Source: the annotation of a GenBank genome assembly
CUGAUGGAAGAAAACCAGCUGGAAAUCAAAUUUUACAGGAAAUGGGGAGACCCACAUUACAGUGCAGCAACUGAUAUCAUAAAGAAAAUGAAGGUGCCAAAUGAUUCAGAUUAAUUUACACUUUUUGCAAUGUAAUUUAUACAAUAGUACAUUUUCUUAAUGUAGCAUUCCGUGUCUUGGCAUAUUGCAUUGACAGGCUAAGGGCGUAGUCUGCAUUGGACGGGGGAGUAUUCAGUGCACCCUGUCCCCACAAACCACCUAGUGACCCCACACUGAUACACCAGAGACCUUUAUAGAAGAGCGCAGCUAGCAGAAAGAUGGAGAUAACCCCAUGCAAAACAAUCAGUUUUGUGUUACUGAAUGUUUGGUGUGUGCUAAAGACGUGCCAAAAACAGGAGCACAGAAUGCUCGUUUACACACACAUACACAUCAAUAGCAACAGCUGUGGAAUGUUACUAAGGCCCUUGGGAAUAGCAGUUUUUCUGUCAUUCCAUUGCUGUUGAACUUUACUGUAUUACUUUCUUUUAUAGCUGUAAAUAACCCCUGAAGGCCAUUUUACAUUAUAUUACAUUAAAUAAUUAAAUAACAAAUUAUGUGUCACAUAAUCCUAUACUGCCUUAAGUUGUGAAGAGGUCCCUCUGGAAGUUCUGUCAGACGUAGCAAUUUUUCAUUGCAUUCUUGGUGCUGAGAAAUGAGAGUUCCCUAUUCAUUAAUGGAAAAUAGUUGUUUUGUUUGCUAUCCAGAUUGAUCCCCAAAGUUAGGUUUUAUGUCCAUAUGCCUACGAAUGGUGCAUGUUCAGUGUCAUUCCAAAAGUAAACACGAGGUGGCCUGAAGUGCAAAGUUUACCCUCCACACUUUGGUCACCAUUGUUCCUUUUGGGGGCAGUAUUAUAUGAAGCAACCACUGUGGGUUCAUUAAAAUCCCAUGGAGUUUUAUUUAUGGACUUGAUAUAAAUAAUAAUAUAAUAAUAAUUGAUUAUUUCUACCCUGCCCAUCAGGCUGGAUUUCCCCAGCCACUCUGGGCGGCUUUCAACAGAAGGUUAAAAAUACAUUAAAACAUCAGUCAUUAAAAACUUCCCUAAACAGGGCUGCUUUCAGAUGUCUUCUAAAUGUCAUAUGGUUGUUUAUUUCUUUGACAUCUGAUGGAAGGGCGUUCCACAGGGCAGGCGCCACAACCGAGAAGGCCCUCUGCCUGGUUCCCUGUAACUUUGCUUCUCACAGUGAGGGAACCACCAGAAGGUCCUCGGCACUGGACCUCAGUGUCUGGGUUGGGUGAUGGGGGUGGAGACACUCCUUCAGGUAUACUGGCCGAGGCUGUUUAGGGCUUUAAAUAUCAGCACCAACACUUUGAAUUGUGCUCAGAAACAUACUAUCAAGAAGGGUUUCAGAACCGAUAGAGCCCCUCACUCAUAUGUAUAGGUUCUCCACACUUACUACUUGUCUGUUUGCUUUCAGCUGUAGAGUAGCCCCCCCCCCCCAAGAUAGCAAUUUCAUAAGUGGAACAUCAACAAUGAAUUUUACCCUUCCACUUUUUAAAAAACAAAACCAAACCAUGAGAUACUUUGUGCAAAACAGAGCUACAGGUUCAUGAGCUCUCUAUCUUACAUGUUUAGCAAUCUGGGAGUUAUGGCAGGUCUAUAUGGUGAGGUACACAUUUAAUAAAUAAUAACAUGAUUCUAGUGAAACAUCAUAAAUCUAAUAUCAUGCCAAACAGGUUGCAUAAAGAUGUAUAUUUUACAUAUGAGUACCAGGCAGAAAGAUUGGUUCACAAGUUUCUGUAACCCCAAACUUUGCCUAAAACUUCCUAACAGGAGAAUGGUUGGUUUUCUCCAAUUCUUUCUUCCCACUGCAGUCCAUGUGUCCUGGAAAAUCCUGGCUCAGAGGGCUGGGAGACCAACCAUAACAGCAAUAAAGUGGAACAGAGGGCUGCAGGGGCAAAGUGGAAUUGGAACACAAUCUUCUCUAGUUCUUGUACAUUAGAGGACACCUCUAUUGGAUCACCCCAAAUUUGUCUUCAAAUAGAAAGAUAGCAGUAGAUUAAUUUUAGCACAACUUGUUCAGGGUGCAGAAAUUUGCUCCUGUGUUUGGUCUAUUCAACUGAGCACUAUCAGCAGUUUUAAUCUCUGCUGCUUUUACAUUUUAGGUGGAAGACAAAGUAUAACAAGUAGCAUUCAGCAUGGGGAAUGUGUAAAUGUGUUAUAUAUAAACAUAAUACCGAAAUACAAAUAGGGUUCUCAGCAACUGUCCAUCAAAUAGUUUGUAUCAGUUAGACAAAUUUUUCCUUUCGACUUCUAGAUCCUAGCAUUUUCCUGACCCCCAAUGCAAAUAACCAGAUAUCAAAUGGGUUCAGUAGAAAUUAAAGGAAUUAUUCCCUUCUGUUUUACUACAGGCAGUAUCAUAUUUAUGAGAGCUGUUGACCAAGAGUAGAGUAGAGUGUAUACUUUACAUUCAGAAGAUUACAUAUGUUAUAUCUAUGUUUAUCCAGGUACUGCUGGGAAAGGCUCCUGUUUGAAGCCUUGGAAAGCUGUAUUCAUAGUCAGUGGCCCUCAAUUAACUCUUCCACUUCUUUCUGGAUGAGAUCAACAAAGCCAUCACCACCCACUUGCCUGGCCAUCAGCACAAUGUCCUCCACCUCAGUGGCAAUGCUUGGAAAUCCCUUGAAAUUGUGCACAUGUAUUCCUUCCACAAGUUCCGCCAUUUACGAACACCUGAAAUCUAUUAAUUUCUUUCUUUCGAAUAAAAGACGGCAACAGCAUUCUGAGCUAGAUACUACUUACUCAGGGCCAAGCCAUGCAUGAUGCAGCAGGUUCAUGAUGAAAUUGUCUUGCAUUGUGUCAUUAAUUUUUUUUAAAAAACAGGUUCAGGGAGUUCAAAAUUUAUCCCUUCUUCAUUUAUCCAAUCUUAAUCACACAUAUCACAAGAUUCCACUAGCUCUACAUGGGGGUAGGGUGUUUAAAAAAAUUCAAAAUGUAUCUCCACUUAUGUAUGGUUUAUUCCUUUGCACUAUCUUGAUUUGACCCCUCUUGGAGUUUUUCCCCCACCCCAAAUUGCCAAGGAAAAUAAAAUGCUUGCUUUAUGGAGGGUUUUCCCCCUAGUUCUUACCAUUGAAGGAAAUCACACAAGCAGAGAGGAAGUUAUCUUCUUUUUUUAUGCUGAAGCACUCGACUUUCAUGGGAUUCUUUAAAAAGCUAAAUUACAUAAAGAAACUGUGGGGGAACUAAACGCCUUAGGCAGUUGAUAAUGGUUUAUGGAACCUUUCAUGUUCCAAUCAUCAGUUGAAAUCGGACUUAGGUCAGAAGAGACUGAAAAUAAUUACCGUCCUAUGGCAGCUGUGAGCUUGGAUGUGAUGAAUUGGUGGCUUCAAUAGUUGUACUUCACAUUACAAAGACAACUUCAAAACAAACCACUACUGUAAUUUGUACUAAUAGUUGAUGUCCACUUGCCAUUCCAAACUGAGGAACCACUUACUUAUCCACUAUAUAUUUUGGAAAAUGGUUUGUCUGUCUGUCUGUCCAUUCUCUGUGCUUUCAAAUGCUUCUAGAGAUAUUGUCACCCAAUCUGGCAUCAUUGUUCUCGAGGUGGAGACAGUUUUCACCCACAUUUGGACACCAUCAGAUGCAAUUUUGAAUGAAGAUGUCAGACUGAAAUGUUGCAAACCACCACACCAAAUUCCCAUGGAAUGCCCUCCCACUUGAGGUAAGGCCUGUAACAGUGAGGUGGUGAAGGCAGGGCCACAUUGCACAACUACCGUCAAGGCAACAAGUAUCACUGUCAUUUAUGGAGCGGGUAAAGUAAUUUAAAACAAAUUUUAAUUCAUCAAGUGAAACACAGACCAAGAGUCAGCUAUCGUAGCUUACCGGGGGCUCCAAAAGCCUGUUUUUGCUGCUUUUGUGGUACUGCAAAAACAGGGUAUGUCAAGUGUCUAAAAGACCAUGGUUGUUAGACUGUGGUUGGAUUGCUGGGUCUCAAUUUCUGCAGACCUGUUUUAAAGUUUCAUGGCUUGGUGAUACCCUGUGGCAAUAAGUUCCUUGGUCUAAAAUAAGUAUAAUAAAAACGUUUCCACCAUAAUGUUUACAUGGCUUAUAAUGGAGGUGAGGGGAUCAUGGUUAAUAUCUUCAUCUUGAUUACGUCCUUCUAAAAGAGUAAUGAAGAAUGUCAAUCUUCAGGAUUGCUAACUGCUAUGAUUAAGAAAAGUCAGCAUUAAGGCACGGUAUUAUUAAUUUGGUAGUUUUCUUAAGCACAUCACAUCUUUCAGUCUCUAAUACCAUCUUGUUGCUAAAAUUCAACAUUAAAUUAAGCAUGUUAAAGAACUGAGAACUGACACUGGGACAAAGUCCACAUAUAUUAACCAUGCAAGACAGAUGUAAGCAGAAAUGGGUGGUUUGUAUGCAUUUUGUAAUGGAAUAUAAGGGAUAUAAGCAAUCUUUGUGGGAGGUGGAUUAAUUCACCACCAGUAAAUUUGACCCAUUGAUGAACCUUAUGCUGAUAAUAUAACAAAAGGACAGGGUGUAGAAAACAAGAUCCAUCUGCUGUGAAAUUCCUUCCUUCCUUCCUUCCUUCCUUCCUUCCUUCCUUCCUUCCUUCCUGUCUUUCUUUUUAAAAUGGCUGUUAUUUAGGUAUAUGAAUGUGCAAAAUAUAUCUGAAAUAAUAAAAAAUGUUGGAUUUCUGCUGUUGCAUAAUAAAUGCACAAUG